RNAcentral lists this ribosomal RNA (301 nucleotides) under uncultured bacterium. Its description in RNAcentral is "partial 16S ribosomal RNA". It matches the Rfam family "Bacterial small subunit ribosomal RNA", at positions 509 to 808 of the family's 1533-position model. The record is from RNAcentral.
CAGUCGCCACGGUAAUACGUAGGUGGCAAGCGCUGUCCGGAAUUAUUGGGCGUAAAGCGCGCGCAGGCGGUUUCUUAAGUCUGAUGUGAAAGCCCCCGGCUUAACCGGGGAGGGUCAUUGGAAACUGGGAGACUUAGAGUGCAGAAGAGGAGAGUGGAAUUCCAUGUGUAGCGGUGAAAUGCGUAGAUAUAUGGAGGAACACCAGUGGCGAAGGCGACUCUCUGGUCUGUAACUGACGCUGAGGCGCGAAAGCGUGGGGAGCAAACAGGAUUAGAUACCCCUGUAGUCCCUGUCUCUUAUA